UGUCUCAUGAUAUGAGAUAAUACCUGCCCAGUGACAUGUUCAACGGCCGCGGUAUCCUAACCGUGCAAAGGUAGCAUAAUCACUUGCCUAUUAAUUGUAGGCUAGAAUGAAGGGGUUAACGAAAUAAAGACUGUCUCAGUUAGUCACCUAAAAAUUACUCUCUACCUGAAGAAGUGUAGAUACUCGAAGGACAAGAAGACCCUAUAGAGCUUAAUUUUACUUAUAGAUUAUAAAAAGAUUUGGUUGGGGCGACCCUGGGCUAAAUAAUCACCCAUAGUAAAGAUACAUAAAUCAUGACCCUAAAGAUCACAAAAACAAGUUACCUUAGGGAUAACAGGCUAAUCCCACUUAAGAGUCCUUAUCAACAGUGGGGUUUGGCACCUCGAUGUUGGCUUAGGGUAUCUAUAUAGCGCAGAAGUUAUAUAAAGAUGGUUUGUUCAACCAGUAAUUCCCU
This 454-nucleotide ribosomal RNA is filed under the name Amynthas sp. Apo1. RNAcentral describes it as "partial 16S rRNA". It matches the Rfam family "Bacterial large subunit ribosomal RNA", at positions 1836 to 2597 of the family's 2925-position model. Lineage: Eukaryota; Metazoa; Annelida; Clitellata; Crassiclitellata; Megascolecidae. The record is from RNAcentral.